AGAGUUUGAUCAUGGCUCAGAACGAACGUUGGCGGUGUGGAUUAGGCAUGCAAGUCGAACGAAUGUCAGUUUGGUAGCAAUAUUGAGCUGGCGGAAGUGGCGAAAGGGGCAGUAAUGCAUGGAUAACCUACCUUGGGGAUGGGCAUAGCCGUUCUAACGGACGGGUAAUACCCAGAGAUUCAGCGAGAGGGCAUCCUUUUGCUGGGAAAUGAAUUUCGCCUCGAGAGGGGUCCAUGUGCUAUUAGCUAGUUGGUGGGGUAACGGCCUACCAAGGCAAAGAUGGCUAGCGGGUGUGAGAGCACGACCCGCGCCACUGGCACUGAGACACUGGCCAGACACCUACGGGUGGCUGCAGUCGAGGAUCUUCGUCAAUGGGNNCAAGCCUGAACGAGCGCCCGCGUGCGCGAUGAAGGCCUUCGGGUUGUAAAGCNNCGAAAGUGGAGAGAAAGGGAAACUUGAUCAAUCCACAGUAAGGACGGGCUAAGUUCGUCCAGCAGCCGCGGUAAGACGAACUGUCCUAACGUUGUUCGGAAUCACUGGGCUUAAAGGGCGCGUAGGCGGUCCAACAAGUCAGGGGUGAAAUCCUGCAGCUUAACUGUAGAAGUGCCUCUGAUACUGUUGGUCUGGAGGGAGAUAGGGGUGUGCGGAACUUCCAGUGGAGCGGUGAAAUGCGUUGAUAUUGGAAGGAACCCGGAGGCGAAACGGCGCACUGGAUCUCUACUGACGCUGAGGCCGAAAGCCAGGGGAGCAAACGGGAUUAGAUACCCUAGUAGUCC
This 776-nucleotide ribosomal RNA is filed under the name uncultured bacterium. RNAcentral describes it as "bacterial SSU rRNA". It matches the Rfam family "Bacterial small subunit ribosomal RNA", at positions 8 to 796 of the family's 1533-position model. The record is from RNAcentral.